AUGGAAGGUAGCAUAUGCAAAAGAGAUUUGCAGAGGAGGGUUUUGAGAGAGGCUUCUUUGCCUAAGGAAGUUGUUGAUCACUUGUCGUAUUAUUUAUCAGGAGGAAACAAAGUUGAAAUGCCAUUCAGCCGAAAGGACCGUGAAAAAUCACAAGUGGAAAGGACUGUUGAAUUUAAGGAGGUAAAUAUUGGAUCCACUGCAUUUAGAGAAUUUACUGAUGACCAGGUGAAGGAUGAAUACUGGGCUGCAAGGGUUGCAGGUUCGAUGAUGGAGGAAGAAGCCUGA
This is a non-coding RNA of Vicia faba (fava bean), 285 nucleotides long. The record is from the annotation of a GenBank genome assembly. Lineage: Eukaryota; Viridiplantae; Streptophyta; Magnoliopsida; Fabales; Fabaceae.